Molecule: long non-coding RNA, 1349 nt
Organism: Pan troglodytes (chimpanzee)
Lineage: Eukaryota; Metazoa; Chordata; Mammalia; Primates; Hominidae
Exons: 3
Source: RefSeq, a predicted model, not a curated record
ACAGGGUUUCAUUCUGUCACCCAGACUGGAGUGCAGUGGCACGAUCAUGGCUCACUGUAGUCUCCACCUCCAGGUUCAAGCGACCCUCUCACCUCAGCUUCCUGAGUAGCUGGGACCAAGGCAUACACCACCAUGUCUGGCUAAUUUUUGUGUUUUUUAGUAGAGAUGACGUCUCACUCUGUUUUCCAGGCUGGUCAAGGGAGGAACUUUUAGAUAAUUAGAGACUUCAAUGUGAAACAUACAGCUACAAACUAAUGAAAAAAAUAGGAGAAUUUUUGAAUGGGAUUAAUACCUAGAAUAUACAAAGUACUCCUGCAAACCAACAAGAAAAAGACCCCACAUAUAGGAACCAUCGGAUCCCUGUGUACAGAUGAAGAACCGAGGCUUGGAAAGCUUAACUACCUUGCUCACAGUCACACAUUAAGGUCUAAAGUGAGAAAUUAAACCAAGUCUUCCAAUCUCAAAGACUUUAAAGGAAAAGCUACAAGCUACAAGACAUCAGCUUACAGCUUAUUCUUUGGGACUGGGAGCACAGCGAGAGGUCAUUGUUUCAUGGCAAUGCAACAAAAAGUGGAGAAGCCCUGCCUUACCAUUCAAAGCUGGAUCCCCUCUCCCUCCUCCGUUCACCCCAUGCCCCAUGCUUCUUGCCCUGAUGUGUCUCUGAAAGCAUCCUGAAGAAAUCAAUUGCAUGACCAGAGCUGGAAGUGUCUCUGGGAGCUGUUUAGUUCAACCUAUUUAUCAAAGCUGUUUAUCAAUGAGGAAGUGGGCUCAGCUAGUCAAACAGCUGCAAAAAAGGUCGGGGGGCUGGUUUACAUCUAGGAGGAAUUGUGGAGGACCAGUACCAGCCCGGAGUCCUCUGAACCCCAUAUUAGGUGGAAAAAUCAGUGACUCCACCGUUCACUGCAGGUCCAAGCACACAGCUCCACACGCCACCCUGAAGGAGAAAAAUAAGUGCUGCGGGCACAUUUCCAUUCUUUUCUUUCAAACACAAUCCUCUCUCCAAUCUGCCUGAAGAAGAAAGGCCAUGCACGAGCCACAGGUUACUUAUUUUCUGGAAGGAUAAACGUGGGCCUGUUUCCAGUGAAAGUGACUUCCAAGAAGCAUGAGCCUUCUUGAAUACUGACCCACUUCCGGAUGUGAUCCUGGCUGCGGCGGUUUCCAGAAUAUCAUCAGGGUAACUUUCCCGCUGUGCGGUCUAUGUUGGAACUUACAUCGUCUUUAAAAGGCACAAAUAGCUGAAUAACAUAAUGUAACCUGAUGUUCUGACAACCCCACUUAUACUCAGGCUAAAUUUAAAGGUCACCAUUGCAGGGAAAUAGUGGCAUGAGAAUAAAAGUGCCUUAAACAUG